GGGUGAGUGCUCCUAUAUCCUAACCUGACAGCCUUUAAAGCUGCGUCUGGCUUGCACACCCCCGAUCCUAAACAAGUAGCAUUCAGCUGUGCUUCCCAUGCCCCAAAAGGGAAAAGCAUCCAGUUUCUAAAGGGCUCCUCUAAAAAAAAUCAAAUUGAAAUAUAGUGAUGGUUACUUUAAGGCCGGUAAAAAAAGAACGUGUGGCCCUGAAGUCAGCAACCCUGCCUGGACCGUGGCAUUCGUGCCACUGGGUGUUAAGCUACAAUCUCGCUGCUUUAGCUGCAUUCUCAGAGCAGUAUUUCACGUUCGCUGCCAUCGAGACCGCUCACGCUUGGGGUGUAAGUGUGCGCGCAUGUGUUUGCUCUGACCGUGCUCUUGUUACAACGAGACUGAGGAAAUCCAGUCCGUGGUCCACGUGGGUGCAGGAAGGGGAAGAGAAAAUGCAAGGUAGGCCUCAGGUGCUUACAUUCAUAUUUGUAAUACUUAGCACAUGUACACCACUGAUCAGGACAGGUCUAGCAAUCAGACAGAACUUAGUUCUUUACAGUUACAAGGAAAAUCUGGAACAGUUAUAUAGUUAGAAAAAAUACAGUGUACUGAACAAACAUUAUCUCACACGUACAAUCAAUUUAAACAUGGAAAUUGAUUAUAAUUUUGCUAAAAUAUUAACACAAGUAUCUUUUGUGCUGCUAAAAUAUCAGUGUUCCC
Gavialis gangeticus (Gharial) is the source of this 708-nucleotide long non-coding RNA. RefSeq lists it as uncharacterized. Lineage: Eukaryota; Metazoa; Chordata; Crocodylia; Gavialidae. The transcript is spliced from 2 exons. The record is from RefSeq and is a predicted model, not a curated record.